This 254-nucleotide ribosomal RNA is filed under the name uncultured bacterium. Its description in RNAcentral is "partial 16S ribosomal RNA". It matches the Rfam family "Bacterial small subunit ribosomal RNA", at positions 524 to 776 of the family's 1533-position model. The record is from RNAcentral.
GACAGAGGCCCCAAGCGUUAGGCGGAAUCACUGGGCUUAAAGCGUGUGUAGGCGGAUCGUUAAGUGUCUUGUGAAAGUCCCACGGCUCACCCGUGGAACUGCUGGGCAUACUGGCGAUCUUGGGCCAACUAGGGGCAGCCGGAACAAGCGGUGGAGCGGUGAAAUGCGUAGAUAUCGCUUGGAACGCCGAAGGUGAAAACAGGCUGCUGGGGUUGUGCCGACGCUGAGACACGAAAGCCAGGGGAGCAAACGGG